Long non-coding RNA from Felis catus (domestic cat), 548 nucleotides. RefSeq lists it as uncharacterized. NCBI's taxonomy places the organism in Eukaryota, Metazoa, Chordata, Mammalia, Carnivora, Felidae. The record is from RefSeq and is a predicted model, not a curated record. The transcript is spliced from 2 exons.
GCGUGCGCAGGGGGCGGUGGGAGGGCCCCGCGCGGCGCCACUAACCUGUGCUUACGGAACGCCUGCUGUCUAUCGGCUCCUUCGCGACCUCCUCCGCCUGCAGAGCAUCUCCGGCCGGGGCCUUGGGCGAGUGACCGAGCCUCUCCUGGGUUGUCCCCAGGUUUGUCGGAGAGGGUGGUGACUUCACCUUGCAGGCAGGGUUGACCAUCUUAGCCGUUUUUAAGUGUACAGAUCAGCGGCGGGAAGUACGUUCACGCUAUUCCGCAGCCUCCGCCACCAUCCACAGGACGUUUCCACCAGUGAUGGUUUCACAGCGGACUGCCUUCCAAGGGGAGGCUCUGUCUUCACUCUCUUCUUGCCCAGCAGUCAGUCACUACGGAGUCUCCACCUGCUGAGUCCUGAGACACAGAAGGGCCCUGCCCUCCCCGAGCUUUUAGCAGGAGGGACGGCAAGCAAACAAGGACCCCAACCGCUCCUUUGCAUCAGAUUAACCGCGGUCAGGCCUCUCCCGGCAUAGACACAAAAAUAAAAUCAGUAUCCUUUGCCCA